This 339-nucleotide unclassified non-coding RNA is filed under the name soil metagenome. Its description in RNAcentral is "partial contains 5.8S ribosomal RNA, internal transcribed spacer 2, and large subunit ribosomal RNA". The stretch from base 1 to 120 matches the Rfam family "5.8S ribosomal RNA", at positions 35 to 154 of the family's 154-position model. The record is from RNAcentral.
GAUGAAGAACGUAGCGAAAUGCGAUACGUAGUGUGAAUUGCAGAAUUCAGUGAAUCAUCGAAUCUUUGAACGCACAUUGCACCUCUCGGUAUUCCGGGAGGUAUGCCUGUUCGAGCGUCAUUUGUACCCUCAAGCUCUGCUUGGUGUUGGGUGUUUGUUCCGCCUCUGUGUGUGAACUCGCCUCAAAACAAUUGGGAGCCGGCGUACUUGUUUCGGAGCGCAGCACAUUUUGCGAUCCAGAUCAACGUACAGCGGCAUCCAAGAAGCCUUAUUUAACGCUCUUGACCUCGGAUCAGGUAGGGAUACCCGCUGAACUUAAGCAUAUCAAUAAGCGGAGGA